GGCGGCUGGGCGGCCAUGAGGGCCUCCUGGCGCAGCGCUGCUGCCGUCGCCUGGGGCGGGGGGGCCUGUUCGGCCCCGCUCCGGGCCCCGCUCCGGGCCCCGCUGCCUCCCGUUCCGCGGAGAGGUUUGGCUGCCACAGCAGUUAGGAAGACAUACGAUGUCAGAAAAGUUGAAAUCACACCCCUGGAGCAGAGGAAGGUAACUUUUGAUACCCAUGCUUUAGUGCAGGAUCUGGAAGCCCAUGGCUUUGGGAAGGAGCAAGCAGAGACCAUUGUGUCAGCAUUGAUAACCUUGUCGAAUGUCAGCCUAGACACAGUCUAUAAGGACAUGGUUACACAGGCUCAGCAGGAAAUAACUUUGCAGCAGAUAAUGGCACAUUUGGACUCCAUCCGAAAAGACAUGGUCAUCCUGGAGAAAAGUGAAUUUGCAAACUUGAGAGCAGAAAAUGAGAAAAUGAAAAUUGAAUUAGAUCAGGUUAAACAGCAGCUAAUGAAUGAAACCGGUAAAAUCCGAGCUGACAGCAAGCUGGACAUAAACCUGGAAAGGAGCAGAGUGACAGAUAUGUUUACAGAUCAGGAGAGGAAACUGAUGGAAGCAACUACAGAGUUUCAUAAAAAAGAUUCAAGCACCAACAGUGUUAUCUCGGAGAUCAGUAACAAAAUUGACACUGAAAUAGCUUCCUUAAAAACACUCAUGGAAUCCAAUAAACUGGACACAAUACGCUACCUGGCAGCUUCAGUGUUCACUUGCUUAGCAAUAGCACUGGGGUUUUACAGGUUCUGGAAAUAGAUCUGAAUGGAGGGACUGCAUCAAACAGUGAUGGAGAAGCAGCCACCCAGGCAACGUCAGCUCAAUGAUCAUGUUUACGCUGUAGAUAACCUUGCAUCUGUAAUCCCAGAGGUCAGCAGACCAGAACUUCUAUCUUUGCUUUUCCAAGUGGAAAUGCCUCUACUUUCAGCAGCUGUGUACAGUCCUGAGGCAGAUAAGUGCUUUUAACUCCUCUCCUAAGUAGUGUAGAGCAUUCCAAACAACCGUCAUGUAUUUUCUGGGUAUAGGAUCUGGCUUGUAACAGGGCAAUACUUAGCAUCUCAGUGGUGCUCGUGUGGUGGUGGUCAUCCUUUUGCCAUCUCCAUGCUUCUCCAGAGUCUCCUGUAAUCCUGUGGGACACACUGACACUCCUGACUUCUGGUGAUGGCCCUCUGCCUUCUGCAAGGACUUCACAACUGUUGUUGCAGAGAUGGGACACAGCAGGUGGACACUUUCCAAAACUGAAGCAGUCAUGUCUUGUUGAGUACAAAUGCAUAUCCUUGGUUUGAUUCUUAUAAUAAAAUAAUAACUUCAAAAAAUCA
Pogoniulus pusillus (Red-fronted tinkerbird) is the source of this 1349-nucleotide RNA transcript. It is a transcript of the gene named coiled-coil domain containing 90B, with no coding region annotated. Lineage: Eukaryota; Metazoa; Chordata; Aves; Piciformes; Lybiidae. The transcript has 10 exons. The record is from RefSeq and is a predicted model, not a curated record.